GUUGGUGUGGCAGAGCCCGGUAAUUGCAAAAGACCUAAGCCCUUUUAAUAGAGGUUCAAAUCCUCUCCCCAACU
This 74-nucleotide transfer RNA is filed under the name Synanceia verrucosa (stonefish). RNAcentral's name for it is "tRNA-Leu". It matches the Rfam family "tRNA". From Rfam's summary of the family: Transfer RNA (tRNA) molecules are approximately 80 nucleotides in length. Their secondary structure includes four short double-helical elements and three loops (D, anti-codon, and T loops). Lineage: Eukaryota; Metazoa; Chordata; Actinopteri; Perciformes; Synanceiidae. The record is from RNAcentral.